Molecule: ribosomal RNA, 440 nt
Filed under: uncultured bacterium
Lineage: Bacteria
Description: partial 16S ribosomal RNA
Rfam family: Bacterial small subunit ribosomal RNA
Source: RNAcentral
CCUACGGGUGGCAGCAGUGGGGAAUAUUGCACAAUGGGGGGAACCCUGAUCCAGCGACGCCGCGUGAGCGAAGAAGUAUUUCGGUAUGUAAAGCUCUAUCAGCAGGGAAGAAAAUUACGGUACCUGACUAAGAAGCCCCGGCUAACUACGUGCCAGCAGCCGCGGUAAUACGUAGGGGUCAAGCGUUAUCCGGAUUUACUGGGUGUAAAGGGAGCGUAGACGGUGGUGCAAGUCAGAUGUGAAAGUCCGGGGCUCAACCCCGGGACUGCAUUUGAAACUGUUGAACUAGAGUACAGGAGAGGCAAGCGGAAUUCCUAGUGUAGCGGUGAAAUGCGUAGAUAUUAGGAGGAACACCAGUGGCGAAGGCGGCUUACUGGACUAUGACUGACGUUGAGGCUCGAAAGCGUGGGGAGCAAACAGGAUUAGAUACCCGAGUAGUC